GAGCCGCUUGGCUGGAGUGGGACCGCAACCAACCAGGACUACGAUUCCCAGCGGGCAGCGCGCCAACUCCACGCGGAGGGCGGGGCUCUGGGCAAGCUAGGAGUUGUAGAGUCCGCCGCCUUCACUGUCUGGCUGUUUGGGAGAUUUACACUUCAUUUUUUUUUUCUAGAGAAAAACAAUUUUUGACAGAAGUCCUAACGAAAAGCGAGUUUACAGUGAAUCCUUGCGAGGGCUCAGGGAUCAACUCCCCACCGGCCCGCUUGGAAGAGUCUAAGUCCUUCACCGGGCCCGUUCCGUCAGCGGGUCGAUCCAGCUGGCUGAGGAUAGCAAGACAGCGGGACUAAUCCAAGCUAUGCCAAAGGGAAAGGGCGCGGCCUGCCAACCCGUCUCUUGGCAACGGGCUCAGGCCGCUAAACGGCCGGAGAGACGCUCCGAGCGCAUAGCCCUCUGGGAAGCGUAGUAUAGCUGGAAGGUUCAUAGGACUCUCGAGGCUGCAGGCUUUGAGCGUGAGAACUACAAUUCCCGACGUUCACCAUGAGGGCCAGGGGGUAGGAAGAGCCCCCAGGAGCUCGGUCCGGGGUUCCUGGCUCCCUAGUGACAGCAGCGACAGGAAGCAGGCAGGCAUCCCCCUAACUCCCAGCGCUAGGCCUGUCCUCGGAGGGGUGCACUGGACACUUUCCCGCAUAAUUCCCAUCUCUAACCCCAUGGCGAAGUCCCCAGGGAAAUCCACCCUGGAGGACAGUCUUGGGCAAUACCAACGGAGUCUCCGGGAACGAGCCAAUAGAAGCAUUCACCAAUUGAAAUGCACCCUGAGAGAAGUUGAUGCCACUGUAGAAGAAGAUGCACUGGAUCCUUCCACCAGCAUCAACGUAGAAAAGGAGGACAUAGGGGCGGCCUGGCAUGAACUGCAGCACAGCCAUGCUGUCAAUCAACUGAAAGCUUUGUUGCGUCAACAAACAAGUAAGGAAAAUGAGACAUCUCCACCACGAAGACGAAAGUUGUCCCCUUCGCAGCCGUCAGAAUGUGAAGAUGGUAGCAUGCCAACCAUGCUCAACCUUGUUCCUAUCAUUAAUGACCAGUCUCAAUACAUUCAUCAUUUAGAAGCAGAAGUCAAGUUCUGCAAGGAUGAAUUAUCUGGAAUGAAAAAUAGGGUGCAAGUAGUUGUACUGGAGAAUGAAAGGCUCCAGCAAGAACUGAAAUCUCAAAGACAUGAGGAGACACUAAGGGAGCAAACAUUCCUGGAUGCAUCUGGAAACAUGCAGAAUUCUUGGAUUAAGACACGAGAAGAUUCUAGGGUGGAUGAAAGUGCAAAGAGACCAUUUUCUCACGGUGAUGCUGAAACUGGCAAAACUGCAUUCACUGGUGAUGCCGAUAAAUGGAAGCUGGAGUUGGAGAGGCUGAAACUCACGUACGAGGCGAGGACCGACCUCUUGGAAUCUCAGCUGAUGCUUCUGAGGAAAGAAUUAGUUGAAUACCAGAAAACCUGUGAGGAUCUUAAGGAAAGAUUGAAGCAUAAAGAGUCUCUUGUGACUGCGAGUGCGUCCAGCCGUGUGGGUGGCCUCUGUUUGAAAUGCGCUCAGCACGACGCUGUUCUCUCUCAGACACAUAGCAACGUGCACAUCCAGACCAUCGAGACACUCACCAAAGAGAGAGACGACUUAAUGUCUGUGCUAGUUUCUGUGCGGAGCAGCUUGGCAGAAGUGCAGGAGAGAGAGACAAGUGCCUAUAAGCAGGUGAAGCAAGCUGUGCAGAUGACAGAGGAAGCCAACUUCGAAAAGACCAAGGCUUUGAUCCAGUGUGAGCAGCUGAAGAGUGAGCUGGAGAGGCAGACAGAAAGACUGGAGAAGGAGCUUGCCUCUCAGCAAGACAAGAGGGCUUUGGAGAAGGAGAUGAUAAAGAGAGAAGUAACCAGAGAACGGGAGGACGCAGAGUCAAAGAUGCUGAUCCUGUCUCAGAAUAUUGCCAAGCUGGAGGCCGAGGUUGAAAAGACUACAAGGGAGAAGAUGUCAGCUGUCAGUCAGUUAGAGGAAAUUCAGAACCAGCUUGCAUCUCAGGAAAUGGACGUCACAAAGGUGUGUGGAGAAAUGCGCUUUCAGUUGAAUAAAAUCAAAAUGGAGAAGGAUGAGGUGGAAAAGGAACACAGAGAAUACAAAGCAAAAUCUCACAAGGAUCUUGAAAUGAAAGAUCAGGAAAUAGAGAAGUUGAGACUGGAACUGAGCGAAAGCAAACAGCAUGCGGAGCAGGAGCAGCAGAAGGCCACUCGAGCCAGACAGGAGUGCUUGCAAGUCACAGAGCUGCUGGGUGAGGCGGAGCGCCAGCUGUACCUCACCAGACUGGAAAAAGAUAGCAUUCAGCAAAGCUUUAGCAACGACGCAAAGGCCCAAGCCCUUCAGGCCCAGCAGAGAGAGCAGGAGCUGACACAGAAGAUACAGCAAAUGGAGACGCAGCACGACAAAACUGAAAGUGAACAAUAUUUACUGCUGACCUCCCAGAACACAUUUCUGACAAAGUUAAAAGAAGAAUGCUGCAUGUUAGCCAAGAAACUGGAAAAAGUCUCACUAAAGAGCAGAUCACAAAUAGUUCGACUCAGUCAAGAAAAAAGAUACUUGUGUGACAAGCUAGAGAAGUUACAGAAGAGAAAUGACGAACUGGAGGAGCAGUGCAUCCAACACGGGAGGGUGCACGAGAAGAUGAAGGAAAGACUCAGGCAGCUGGAUAAGCAUGGCCAGGCUACAGCACAGCAGCUGGUGCAGCUGCUUAACAAGCAGAAUCAGCUUCUCCUGGAGCGACAGAACCUGUCAGAGGAAGUGGACCAGCUGCGAGCCCAGAUAGGGAAACUGAGGCUCAAACAAGCGUAUUCAGCUAGCAAAUAGGGGCACAGCAAAUGGAACCUAAGUCUGACUCCAGAGCCCAAGCUGUCCCCAUUCAGGUUAGAUAAUGGCGGAAAAGAGCCCAGUUACCCAGCAUGCCACAAUCUGAUUGCUGACCUGGAUGAAACAGAGUGAAAUAAAUGAUUUACAAAGAGAUAUUUACAUUCAUCUGAUUUGUACUUAAUGUGCCACAGUGCACCGAAACCUCCCCAGGGAGACACCACCGGGGACUGCAGGGGGGCUGGUCCUCAUGCCAUGGUCUGUCCCUGUGCUACAGACACCGAGUGCUUCAGCAUCAACUGGCUAGGGCUAGUUGGGAGUGUGUGCUCAGAACAGCAUCAAGCCACGUUGUCUCUAAAGUAUGCACAGGGGUUAAUAAAAUGACCUUUCUAAAGA
Molecule: RNA transcript, 3266 nt
Organism: Mastomys coucha (southern multimammate mouse)
Lineage: Eukaryota; Metazoa; Chordata; Mammalia; Rodentia; Muridae
Gene: Sdccag8
Gene name: serologically defined colon cancer antigen 8
Exons: 19
Source: RefSeq, a predicted model, not a curated record